This is a long non-coding RNA of Nannospalax galili (Upper Galilee mountains blind mole rat), 2939 nucleotides long. RefSeq lists it as uncharacterized. The transcript is spliced from 7 exons. The record is from RefSeq and is a predicted model, not a curated record. Lineage: Eukaryota; Metazoa; Chordata; Mammalia; Rodentia; Spalacidae.
CAUGUGGAUGCUAGGAUUUGAACCCAGGUCUUCUGGAAGAACAGCCAGUGUUCUUAACCGGUGAUCCUGUCAGAAACUAUGCUGUUUGUGAAGUGAUACAUUGAGCCCUGCUGGUCCAGUGAGGUUAAUAGACAAUUAGGCUACGUUUGGUUUUCAAAUCAUGGUAAAAUCCUGGGUCUUGGACAUACUAAGCAAUUACUCUGCUAUUGAACUACGCUUCUGGCUCUAUGGAAGAUAACUGAAAAGUGUUUUAGGGUUCACCAUAUGUGAUGAGUGAGUGACCUCAAAAGAGAAGAGGAGGAGACUCCUCUCAGUGAUAAGGUAACACAGUAAGGAUUCAGAGGAUUUAAUGCUUCCAUUGGCAUCUCAAAAGGAGAUAUGGACAAAGGAAUAGGUAUCGCACUCAAUAGGUUUGACCAGAGUGAUUAUUCAGGAGGAUCUUCAUCUGUACAAUCUUGGGUUUUCUAUCAUGAAUUUCCCUUUGCUGUUGGGGAAGACCAGAACCUAUGCAGAAAGAUGGCACCAAGGACUUGAAAGGCAAAGCAUACAAGAAGAAAGUCAUGAGCUAUCUGACAUCCAGAUCUUGCUUCCUUUCCUGCUCAGGCACCUGUGUGGAUAUAAUUUGAGGAGUGGCAGGCAAAGCAGAUGGAGAUGGAGACUAUGAAAUGCCAUAGCCAAGUAACAAAGGCUUGACAUUUUCAAUGGAUAUUUGACCUGGAAGCUUUCGAGGAUGAUGGUGAUUUUCAUGAGUGAGCUUAAGAGUUAAUUGCUUGUUCCCUUUUGGAAUAAAAGGAAAAACUGGAGAGUUUAUAAUAUCCAUUUUUCCCCUUAAGGAACACACCCUGAGUUUUUAUAAGCCUAUAACUUUUCAAAGUGUUACCACUUGUAAGAGGUACCUCCUUUGUGAGUAGAGAUUUCUGUUUACCCACUUGGCAAACCCCAGAAUAAUGUUCAUAAGUUAGAAUUCUGAUUCACUGAUAGGUGUCAAAAGUCUCAAGGAAAGGAAAUAGCACACAUAGAGUGGAUGGAGUGGAUCUAGGCAUCCCCAGAUCUACUGUAGCUAUGGAAUGUCAAUUUUUGAAUCUAUACUUGUCGUUCACAAGGGCAUGAUGGUAGAUACACAUUACAAGAAAGAACUGCUCUGGAGAAGGAUUAUAAAAUAUUCUUUCAUGGAAGAGCUUAGAAGCAUACUCCCAAUUUCACAUAGUGGAUUGUAAUGGUUGUUUCCACUAUGUACUUACCUGGCACAAGAACUUAAAGAGUUCAUGUUCUUGGAGUGAUGUUGCCACCCUCUCAAUUUGGCAGGUGUUGAUCACCAUUGGGUCCAGUACCUGAAGGAGCAAGACAGCUAGCCCCCAGUGAACAACAGUGUGCCCUAUUGAUUGAAGACAAGUGAAAAAAGUUACAAAUUUGGCUCAAUUUGACUGGGCAUUUUUUUAAUAAGAGAUUUUUUUCCUUUAUAAAAAUAACAUCAACUUUUAAAUAGUAAAGAACAUGUAUUUUCUAAGCCAGGAAGUAAUAGCUUGUAACAUCUGAGUACAUCGCCCCUUUAGUAAUGUACAUAAUAUUAUUUUAUAACAAAAUUGACAUCUCAUUUAUAUAUCAUUUUAUUCUCUGUUGAUUUUUCAUUUAAAAAUUAAAAAGUGUACUCCAUAUAAUGUUCUUUGAUAACACUACAUAGAACAUGGACUUCACAAAAUUUAUUUGGAUAAUAUAAUAAUACUGUACACUUUUACGUUGUCCUUUUUUUAUAAAAUGUAAUGUAAUGAACAUUGUACAUUAAUCUUUGUAUUUCUUUCUUGAGAUUAAGCUCCUACAUGUUGAAAUUAUUUUGUUUGAAGGACUCUCAGGGCAUCAUAAUAGUGCUGUUGAUUUAUUCUCAACAUAGUUGCAAAGUUAUAUUCCUACCAGUAGUGAAUAAAUGUGAAUAGUUCUUUAAAUAAUUAAAAUAUGACCCUUUUCUGUGCAGAUCUACUUGAUAGGUAGAAAUGUGUCCUUGUUGUUUUAAAAUUAUUUUGAAUUUACAUACAGUUAGAGUAACUCUGAUGUGUUCUACGGAUUUUGAAAAAUAUAUGUCAUGUGUAUUCAAUUCAUGCAGAACUGUUUUAUGACUUUAUAAUUAUUCUUAAUAGCUCUGUUGUUGUUGGGGUGGUGGUGGGUUUUUUUGUUGUUUUUUGUUUUGUUUUGUUUUGUUUUCUCAUGAGGGUCCAUGUUUCCCUAUCUGACUUUGAACUUGACAUCCCUCCUGCCUCAGCCUCUUAAGUCUGUGCCAGUUGGUCUUUUAUAUUCAAUCCCUUUUUUACCCCAACUCCCGAAAAUAACUAAGGAGUAAUUGGCUAAGGUUUUGACUUCCAAAAUGUCAAAUAAAUGGAAUCAUGCAUAUGUAAACUUUUUAUACUGGCUUCUUUCACUUCCUAAAUGUAUUUAAAAUGCACUUACUUACAUGCAUCAUAAGAUUAUUCCUUUGUAUUUCUGAGUAGUAUUUGUUGUGUGGAGGGAAUACAAAUUAUGUUUCAUUCACUAAUCGUUGAAUAUGUGUGUUAUUUCUACUUAAGAUACAAACAAGUUUUCUAUAUGCUCUUACGGUAUAAGUUUUUUUGUGAUACAAAUGUUUAUUUCUGUACAAUAAGUAGCUAAGAGUAGAAAUGAGCACCAAAAUACUUUUUCAAAUGUUUUAUGCAUUCUCCCACAAAUACAGAGGUCCAGUGGUUGGACGUUUGUGAUGUCAGCCAUCAUAGUCUGGGUUUGUAGGUCCUUGAGAACACAGUGCAUUGAGUAUAUUUUCCAUCAAAAUUUCUUCUGUCUUUGGUUCCCAUUUUUAUUGGUUUGUUCCUUUUUCUAUUGUCGCAAAUUAUGUUAUUUGGAAAUAUGUUCUUCUGCCUAUGGCUUGUCUUUUCAUGCUUUUAGCAGUCUUUUUCAAAGCAAAGUUUUCAAUUUUU